Molecule: ribosomal RNA, 361 nt
Filed under: uncultured Lactobacillus sp.
Lineage: Bacteria; Bacillati; Bacillota; Bacilli; Lactobacillales; Lactobacillaceae
Description: bacterial SSU rRNA
Rfam family: Bacterial small subunit ribosomal RNA
Source: RNAcentral
GUGCCAGCAGCGGCGGUAAUACGUAGGUGGCGAGCGUUAUCCGGAUUUAUUGGGCGUAAAGCGAGCGCAGGCGGUUUCUUAAGUCUGAUGUGAAAGCCCCCGGCUCAACCGGGGAAGUGCAUCGGAAACUGGGAAACUUGAGUGCAGAAGAGGACAGUGGAACUCCAUGUGUAGCGGUGAAAUGCGUAGAUAUAUGGAAGAACACCAGUGGCGAAGGCGGCUGUCUGGUCUGUAACUGACGCUGAGGCUCGAAAGCAUGGGUAGCGAACAGGAUUAGAUACCCUGGUAGUCCAUGCCGUAAACGAUGAAUACUAAGUGUUGGAGGUUUCCGCCUUCAGUGCUGCAGCUAACGCAUUAAGUA